RNAcentral lists this ribosomal RNA (497 nucleotides) under uncultured bacterium. RNAcentral describes it as "partial 16S ribosomal RNA". It matches the Rfam family "Bacterial small subunit ribosomal RNA", at positions 28 to 507 of the family's 1533-position model. The record is from RNAcentral.
GAUGAACGCUGGCGGCGUGCCUAAUACAUGCAAGUCGGGCGAACGGACGAGAAGCUUGCUUCUCUGAUGUUAGCGGCGGACGGGUGAGUAACACGUGGAUAACCUACCUAUAAGACUGGGAUAACUUCGGGAAACCGGAACUAAUACCGGAUGAUAUUUUGAACCGCAUGGUUCAAAAGUGAAAGACGGUCUUGCUGUCACUUAUAGAUGGAUCCGCGCUGCAUUAGCUAGUUGGUAAGGUAACGGCUUACCAAGGCAACGAUGCAUAGCCGACCUGAGAGGGUGAUCGGCCACACUGGAACUGAGACACGGUCCAGACUCCUACGGGAGGCAGCAGUAGGGAAUCUUCCGCAAUGGGCGAAAGCCUGACGGAGCAACGCCGCGUGAGUGAUGAAGGUCUUCGGAUCGUAAAACUCUGUUAUUAGGGAAGAACAUAUGUGUAAGUAACUGUGCACAUCUUGACGGUACCUAAUCAGAAAGCCACGGCUAACUACGUG